Molecule: ribosomal RNA, 467 nt
Filed under: uncultured bacterium
Lineage: Bacteria
Description: partial 16S ribosomal RNA
Rfam family: Bacterial small subunit ribosomal RNA
Source: RNAcentral
GACGAACGCUGGCGGCGUGCUUAACACAUGCAAGUCGAACGGAAAGGCCCAGCUUGCUGGGUACUCGAGUGGCGAACGGGUGAGUAACACGUGGGUGAUCUGCCCCUGACUUUGGGAUAAGCCUGGAAAACUGGGCCUAUAACCGGAUAUUCAUUUUUCCUCGCAUGGGGAUUUGUGGAAAGCUUCUGCGGUUAGGGAUGGGCGCGCGGCCUAUCAGCUUGUUGGUGGGGUAAUGGACUACCACGGCGACGAAGGGUAGCCGACCUGAGAGGGUGAACAGCCACACUGGGACUGAGAGACGGAGCAGACGGCUACGGGAGGCAGCAGGGGGGAAUAUGGCACAAUGGGCGCGAGUCUGUUGCAGAGACGCCGCGUGAGGGAUGACGGCCUUCGGGGUGUAAACCGCUGUCAGCUCCGACGAAGCUGAAGUGACGGUAGCAGCAGAAGAAGCACCGGCCAACUACGUG